RNAcentral lists this transfer RNA (73 nucleotides) under Stentor coeruleus. It matches the Rfam family "tRNA". Rfam says of the family: Transfer RNA (tRNA) molecules are approximately 80 nucleotides in length. Their secondary structure includes four short double-helical elements and three loops (D, anti-codon, and T loops). Lineage: Eukaryota; Ciliophora; Heterotrichea; Heterotrichida; Stentoridae. The record is from Rfam by way of RNAcentral.
UCAGAGGUAGUCUAGCGGUUAAGACAUCUGCCCUGCUCAGCGGAAAGCCCAGGUUCAAACCCUGGCCUCUGAC